Molecule: ribosomal RNA, 423 nt
Filed under: uncultured bacterium
Lineage: Bacteria
Description: bacterial SSU rRNA
Rfam family: Bacterial small subunit ribosomal RNA
Source: RNAcentral
GAAUUUUGGACAAUGGGCGCAAGCCUGAUCCAGCCAUGCCGCGUGCAGGAUGAAGGCCUUCGGGUUGUAAACUGCUUUUGUACGGAACGAAAAUGUGCCUUCUAAUAAAGGGCGCUCAUGACGGUACCGUAAGAAUAAGCACCGGCUAACUACGUGCCAGCAGCCGCGGUAAUACGAAGGGUGCAAGCGUUAUCCGGAUUCACUGGGUUUAAAGGGUGCGUAGGUGGGCAGGUAAGUCAGUGGUGAAAUCUCCGGGCUUAACCCGGGAACUGACGAUGAUACUAUUUGUCUUGAAUAUUGUGGAGGUAAGCGGAAUAUGUCAUGUCGAGGUGAAAUGCAUAGAUAGGACAUAGAACACCAAUUGCGAAGGCAGCUUACUACACAAUCAUUGACGUUGAGGCACGAAAGCGUGGGGAUCAAACA